RNAcentral lists this long non-coding RNA (593 nucleotides) under Anas platyrhynchos platyrhynchos (common mallard). RNAcentral's name for it is "lncRNA (ENSAPLG00000020947.1)". Lineage: Eukaryota; Metazoa; Chordata; Aves; Anseriformes; Anatidae. The record is from RNAcentral.
AAAGGAUGCUUUAAUACAAACUAGAUUAAGGAAGAAUGAAAUGGCAUUUGCAAACUGAAGGCUAAAUCAUGGACUCCCAGCUGCCUGGUUAGUAAGAAAUCCUGCAGACCCAGGGAAAUCUGUGAGUCCUGGGGAAGGACUUGUAUUCCACAGCUUCUGUCAGACAGCCAUCUCCUGAGCCUUCAAAAGUUCUUGGUUCCAGAAUUUUCUUGAAGAUAUGUAUAUUUCAAAGUAGAGGUAAUGCUGGAGGCCUUAAACUGAGACAGGGCACUGUGUCAGCCUUUCUGGACUAAAACUCUGCUGUGUAAAGGCCUGUCUUUAUGGGAGACCAGACUGAUCCAUUCUUGUCUUGUGUAGUGGUCUUAGAGGGGUGAGCAUUUAUUACAGCUGCCAUUUUGUUAAUUUACAGGUACAUUGAUUCUUCUUGUAAUCUUAGUAAUUUUCUCUUACAAGAUUAUUGUUUUAUGUAUGAUUAUGUGACACGUCCACCCCCCAUCCCCCAACACACACACCUUUUCUUUCCGAGUCUGGAGACUUGUUAAUUGUUUGGUCCUUAUGAAUAUGUAAGAAGCCUUUUCUUCCUUAUCAUCACC